CCUUGGGGCACUUUGGGCUAAAUUGGACUUUCUGGAAACAAGGCUGCAUCUGCCAGGAGAUGCCACUUUCAGAUCUGUGGUCUCAGCAUAGCUGACGGGAGCAGGCAGCGCAGCAUCAGCAGUAGUAAACCGUAACAUCCACAAUUUGAAAGUGUCAGGCUACCUGUGAGAUAGAUGCUGUCAUUCCAUGUGAGGAAACUGAGGCUAAGAACAUUUUAAAUGAAGGAUAUAUAAAGGAAACAUUUAAAAAGUAAACAGAAGAACAGAUCUGGGUUAAGAGGAAGACACAAACAAGGCUUACGAAAUUCUUCACUCAAAGCAUCACUGUCAGAUUGGUCUUGUGGAAAAGAAGCUGCCCUUGUUAGCAAACCAAGUUCAAGAGUUUUGGAACUCAUCCUUGCUGAGAGAGAAAUCAAGUAAAGUCAAGAGGCAUUUAUUAAGCACCAGGUUUGGGAGUUCUGGAUUUGAUGGAAAGCAGAGAAGAGGGAACCCAUUGAAAGAGGAAAGAAGAUAUGUCUUUUCAUAUGAUGUUAAGUUGGAAGGGGCCUCAGAUGUCAUCUAUCCUGACACCCCAAUUUUACAGAUAAAGAAGCUAAUGGCUAAGAAGGUUGCGACUCAUCCAAGCUCACUUAGAAAACAACUGUCAGAAGUAGAGUCUGAACUUCAUUCUUCUGACUCCUUCCAUCAAUCUUUCCAGUUUAAAUGACAUUUUCUCCCCUGAAGAUUAAAUAGCAUGGGAAUUAAAAAUCUUUCUGGAAGAUGUAUGGUAAAGUUAUUACUUGAAGAUAUACUGCAUAAUUGAGAUGAAUGUGAUAUGUUGUCCAGAGUCCUUGGCCCAUAUGUAUUAUUUUCCAAGAAAUGUGUGUAAAAUAUAAUUGUCCAUAAUCUUUAAUAAAGAUUAAGCUAUGAAAACA
RNAcentral lists this long non-coding RNA (914 nucleotides) under Monodelphis domestica (gray short-tailed opossum). RNAcentral's name for it is "lncRNA (ENSMODG00000050505.1)". The record is from RNAcentral. Lineage: Eukaryota; Metazoa; Chordata; Mammalia; Didelphimorphia; Didelphidae.